GUCGGGUAAGCGCAGGAGAUGUAGAGGCCGCUCUCACGAGUGGCAGCCUGUAAUGGGUGGGAUCCUCGGUUCCUGGGACCCUUCAACUU
This 89-nucleotide non-coding RNA is filed under the name unclassified sequences. RNAcentral's name for it is "DUF3800-VII RNA". It matches the Rfam family "DUF3800-VII RNA". The record is from Rfam by way of RNAcentral.